Molecule: ribosomal RNA, 229 nt
Filed under: Haptolina brevifila
Lineage: Eukaryota; Haptophyta; Prymnesiales; Prymnesiaceae
Description: partial Bacterial large subunit ribosomal RNA
Rfam family: Bacterial large subunit ribosomal RNA
Source: RNAcentral
CGUAGGCGAUGGGAACCACGUUAAUAUUCGUGGGCCAGAUGGAAGUGACGGAUCUCGAAGAUUGUUCCUCCUUAUCGGAUUGGAGGGGCCGUUCAGAGGUUCCUGGAAAUAGCUCCAUCAUCAGACCGUACCCUAAACCGACACAGGUGGACUGGUAGAGAAUACCAAGGCGCUUGAGAGAACUCGGGUGAAGGAACUAGGCAAAAUGGUACCGUAACUUCGGGAGAAG